This 987-nucleotide ribosomal RNA is filed under the name Prevotella denticola CRIS 18C-A. RNAcentral's name for it is "bacterial SSU rRNA". It matches the Rfam family "Bacterial small subunit ribosomal RNA", at positions 248 to 1237 of the family's 1533-position model. Lineage: Bacteria; Pseudomonadati; Bacteroidota; Bacteroidia; Bacteroidales; Prevotellaceae. The record is from RNAcentral.
GUUGGCGGGGCGACGGCCCACCAAGGCGACGAUCAGUAGGGGUUCUGAGAGGAAGGUCCCCCACAUUGGAACUGAGACACGGUCCAAACUCCUACGGGAGGCAGCAGUGAGGAAUAUUGGUCAAUGGGCGGAAGCCUGAACCAGCCAAGUAGCGUGCAGGAGGACGGCCCUACGGGUUGUAAACUGCUUUUAUGCGGGGAUAAAGUGAGGGACGUGUCCCUUUUUGCAGGUACCGCAUGAAUAAGGACCGGCUAAUUCCGUGCCAGCAGCCGCGGUAAUACGGAAGGUCCGGGCGUUAUCCGGAUUUAUUGGGUUUAAAGGGAGCGUAGGCCGGGGAUUAAGUGUGUUGUGAAAUGUAGGCGCCCAACGUCUGACUUGCAGCGCAUACUGGUUCCCUUGAGUACGCGCAACGCCGGCGGAAUUCGUCGUGUAGCGGUGAAAUGCUUAGAUAUGACGAAGAACCCCGAUUGCGAAGGCAGCCGGCGGGAGCGCAACUGACGCUGAAGCUCGAAGGUGCGGGUAUCGAACAGGAUUAGAUACCCUGGUAGUCCGCACGGUAAACGAUGGAUGCCCGCUGUCGGCGCCUUGCGCCGGCGGCCAAGCGAAAGCGUUAAGCAUCCCACCUGGGGAGUACGCCGGCAACGGUGAAACUCAAAGGAAUUGACGGGGGCCCGCACAAGCGGAGGAACAUGUGGUUUAAUUCGAUGAUACGCGAGGAACCUUACCCGGGCUUGAAUUGCAGGAGAACGAUACAGAGAUGUUGAGGUCCUUCGGGACUCCUGCGAAGGUGCUGCAUGGUUGUCGUCAGCUCGUGCCGUGAGGUGUCGGCUUAAGUGCCAUAACGAGCGCAACCCCUCUCCCCAGUUGCCAUCGGGUGAUGCCGGGCACUCCGGGGACACUGCCGCCGCAAGGUGCGAGGAAGGCGGGGAUGACGUCAAAUCAGCACGGCCCUUACGUCCGGGGCUACACACGUGUUACAAUGGCCGG